UCGCGCAUCACCGUCGCGCAGCGUCGUGCACUCUUCCAUCCUUCAUUCUCGAGCUUUCUUGUUCUUUCGCACCGCGUUUCACAGGUCGUUAGAUACCACGGAUCUCUUGAGAAAAUUACAGAAACCCACGUGGCAAGAAAAGUGGAUAUUUGGAAAAGGUUGAGCAGCUGACAGUCAACUGUGUAUUCGAAAUAUACAACAUACGUUUUAGAAAAUGACACGUAAAAGAAAAAGUAACGACUGCUAUUCAGAUAGACAUAAACGUCGACUCGUUGAACAACAAACUAAAUUAAGUAUUAUUAGAAUGAAGCACGUUAAGCACGUAUAGUACGAAAUGUAAAGUCGUGAACCAAACGCUUUUUUUAAAAUAUACAUGAAAACAAGUAUAGUUU
This 392-nucleotide long non-coding RNA is filed under the name Neodiprion pinetum (white pine sawfly). Its description in RNAcentral is "uncharacterized LOC124224343". Lineage: Eukaryota; Metazoa; Arthropoda; Insecta; Hymenoptera; Diprionidae. The record is from RNAcentral.